Molecule: ribosomal RNA, 749 nt
Filed under: uncultured bacterium
Lineage: Bacteria
Description: bacterial SSU rRNA
Rfam family: Bacterial small subunit ribosomal RNA
Source: RNAcentral
AGAGUUUGAUCCUGGCUCAGAUUGAACGCUGGCGGCAGGCUUAACACAUGCAAGUCGAGCGGGGAAAGGUAGCUUGCUACCUGACCUAGCGGCGGACGGGUGAGUAAUGCUUAGGAAUCUGCCUAUUAGUGGGGGACAACAUUCCGAAAGGAAUGCUAAUACCGCAUACGCCCUACGGGGGAAAGCAGGGGAUCUUCGGACCUUGCGCUAAUAGAUGAGCCUAAGUCAGAUUAGCUAGUUGGUGGGGUAAAGGCCUACCAAGGCGACGAUCUGUAGCGGGUCUGAGAGGAUGAUCCGCCACACUGGGACUGAGACACGGCCCAGACUCCUACGGGAGGCAGCAGUGGGGAAUAUUGGACAAUGGGCGAAAGCCUGAUCCAGCCAUGCCGCGUGUGUGAAGAAGGCCUUUUGGUUGUAAAGCACUUUAAGCGAGGAGGAGGCUACUUAGAUUAAUACUCUAGGAUAGUGGACGUUACUCGCAGAAUAAGCACCGGCUAACUCUGUGCCAGCAGCCGCGGUAAUACAGAGGGUGCGAGCGUUAAUCGGAUUUACUGGGCGUAAAGCGUGCGUAGGCGGCUUUUUAAGUCGGAUGUGAAAUCCCCGAGCUUAACUUGGGAAUUGCAUUCGAUACUGGGAAGCUAGAGUAUGGGAGAGGAUGGUAGAAUUCCAGGUGUAGCGGUGAAAUGCGUAGAGAUCUGGAGGAAUACCGAUGGCGAGGCAGCCAUCUGGCCUAAUACUGACGCUGAGGU